RNAcentral lists this long non-coding RNA (212 nucleotides) under Manihot esculenta (cassava). RNAcentral describes it as "long non-coding RNA (MESC_LNC012085)". The record is from RNAcentral. Lineage: Eukaryota; Viridiplantae; Streptophyta; Magnoliopsida; Malpighiales; Euphorbiaceae.
UUUUUUUUAAUUAGCAGUGUCCCCAAAUUAUUUUAACUAGCGAAGGGAAUUAUGGGUUGCAAUCUCAUUGUUCCUUUGAUCACAGCACUAUUCCCAAAAUAUUAAUUAUUUUAAUAGUUUUUAGUUGUUUUACUAAUAAAUUUAAUUAGUAACUUUUUAUCAUCCAUUCUUCUAAUUUUUAAAUACUAAUAUUUUGACCUAACUUAAAAAUU